GUUUCAUUAGGAAACUUGGCUAAAAUGGACGGAUGCACUUGGAAAGUGAAGCAGGAGCCCUUUCCAAAGGGGCUGGCUUGGCUUCGCGCAGUCUGCUUCAGAGCAAAGAUAAAGGGCACUAUAAAACCUGCAAAAGCCCAUGAACUAGUGUGCUGAGUCUCACUCCGGGCUCCAUGUCGGAGAGCUGCUGUGGCUCCAGCACAGUGAGGAAACUGUGGCUGAGAGCUUUGAGCAGCCGCAGGAUGGGGCAUCCUCACCCCAGAGGGGGAGCUGGGAGCCCAGUGCACCUCCAUGGACAUGGUGCCUCCAGGCUCAGCCACCUCUGCACGGCUCCUUCAGGACCCAGGGGUGACAGCAGAUGAACAUGGAGUCCUGCAGAGCUCCAGGUCCCACAGCCCCAGCAUCUUGGCUUGCACAGCUUCAGGGCCAUUGACUCCUCUGAGGUGCCAAAGGACCACCACUGACUCCCAAACUGUGUCCCCUGGGAGGGAGAAUUGGGCUGUGAGAAGAACAGGCAAAACCCUGGUGUCCUGAGAUGAUGAGCCAGAGAAAACAGCGAAGAUCUGGCAGGAAGGUCCUUGCUCAUCCCUUCACUGGAGACUCCUGAGGAUCUGGGGAUUUUGGACACCUCCUCUGCAGUGUAACAGGUAAGAAAGCCACCCAGCAGUUUUGGGUCUGCACAAGGUGGAGGCUUGUCUCCAUUCCAUUGCUUCCCAACCAGGUGCUGGGACAGAGGCAUUAUCUCAAGAUCAGGGCUGGUAUUGUUAUGCAAAAAGCCCUGGAGAUACUGGGGAGGAAGUUUCUCCGGGUUGCAGUGGGAGGGGGAUGAAUAGGGCUGGGGAAAGAAUGGAUGGGAAGUAGUGGCCUUUCCUAGCCACCGAAAGUUGUUGUUUUUGUCACCCUCAGCAUGGCAGGUGACCUCCAAACUCAAGGACACCAGCCUUGUCCCAAAGAGGACAUGUCUGCAGAUGAGGACAAGUGGGAUGGUGAGGGCUGAGACCUGGCACUAGGCAACAUUAAUGGAGAUGUUAAUGACUUUCAAGGGAAUCUCCCCUGUUUUCUUCCUGCUCUUGCUCAUCUGUUCAAGGCUUAGUGACCCUAUGCCCUUGUGAGAUUUUUGGAAGGGGCAGCAAUCUCCUGCCUGAAGGGGCAAGCUGUCUAUGCAAGCUGUGGGGUUCAGGAUAAUGGUCCUUGUGGAGACCCUUGAUGGGCCACAGGAGAUGCCUGCAAACAGAAUGUAACCCCUGGAAGACACUACCAGAGGGGGUAGACCCGCUGGGGCCUGGAAGGGGGUCAACCCA
Molecule: long non-coding RNA, 1301 nt
Filed under: Calidris pugnax (ruff)
Lineage: Eukaryota; Metazoa; Chordata; Aves; Charadriiformes; Scolopacidae
Description: lncRNA (ENSCPUG00000019924.1)
Source: RNAcentral